GACGAACGCUGGCGGCGUGCCUAAUACAUGCAAGUUGAGCGAUGAAGCUUGGUGCUUGCACCCAUUUGAAGAGCAGCGAACGGGUGAGUAACGCGUGGGGAAUCUGCCUUUGAGCGGGGGACAACAUUUGGAAACGAAUGCUAAUACCGCAUAACAACUUUAAACAUAAGUUUUAAGUUUGAAAGAUGCAAUUGCAUCACUCAAAGAUGAUCCCGCGUUGUAUUAGCUAGUUGGUGAGGUAAAGGCUCACCAAGGCGAUGAUACAUAGCCGACCUGAGAGGGUGAUCGGCCACAUUGGGACUGAGACACGGCCCAAACUCCUACGGGAGGCAGCAGUAGGGAAUCUUCGGCAAUGGACGAAAGUCUGACCGAGCAACGCCGCGUGAGUGAAGAAGGGUUUCGGAUCGUAAAACUCUGUUGGUAGAGAAGAACGUUGGUGAGAGUGGAAAGCUCAUCAAGUGACGGUAACUACACAGAAAGGGACGGCUAACUACGUG
RNAcentral lists this ribosomal RNA (497 nucleotides) under uncultured bacterium. RNAcentral's name for it is "partial 16S ribosomal RNA". It matches the Rfam family "Bacterial small subunit ribosomal RNA", at positions 28 to 507 of the family's 1533-position model. The record is from RNAcentral.